Molecule: ribosomal RNA, 482 nt
Filed under: uncultured bacterium
Lineage: Bacteria
Description: bacterial SSU rRNA
Rfam family: Bacterial small subunit ribosomal RNA
Source: RNAcentral
UUGAACGCUGGCGGCAUGCCUUACACAUGCAAGUCGAACGGCAGCACGGGGGCAACCCUGGUGGCGAGUGGCGAACGGGUGAGUAAUACAUCGGAACGUGCCCUGAAGUGGGGGAUAACGUAGCGAAAGUUACGCUAAUACCGCAUAUUCUGUGAGCAGGAAAGCGGGGGAUCUUCGGACCUCGCGCGAUUGGAGCGGCCGAUGUCGGAUUAGCUAGUAGGUGAGGUAAAGGCUCACCUAGGCGACGAUCCGUAGCGGGUCUGAGAGGAUGAUCCGCCACACUGGGACUGCGACACGGCCCAGACUCCUACGGGAGGCAGCAGUGGGGAAUUUUGGACAAUGGGCGCAAGCCUGAUCCAGCCAUGCCGCGUGAGUGAAGAAGGCCUUCGGGUUGUAAAGCUCUUUCGGCCGGGAAGAAAUCGUGGUCUCUAACAUAGGCCAUGGAUGACGGUACCGGACUAAGAAGCACCGGCUAACUACGU